AGUUAAUGAACUUGUAUAAGUAUAUAUUUUGAAAAUAUAAAAAAGGAUAAUAAUCUCCUAUUAACUU
RNAcentral lists this transfer RNA (67 nucleotides) under Drilaster sp. FM16. RNAcentral's name for it is "tRNA-Ser". Lineage: Eukaryota; Metazoa; Arthropoda; Insecta; Coleoptera; Lampyridae. The record is from RNAcentral.